Molecule: unclassified non-coding RNA, 329 nt
Filed under: soil metagenome
Description: partial contains 5.8S ribosomal RNA, internal transcribed spacer 2, and large subunit ribosomal RNA
Rfam family: 5.8S ribosomal RNA (bases 1-120)
Source: RNAcentral
GAUGAAGAACGUAGCGAAAUGCGAUAAGUAAUGUGAAUUGCAGAAUUCAGUGAAUCAUCGAAUCUUUGAACGCACAUUGCGCCCUCUGGUAUUCCGGGGGGCAUGCCUGUUCGAGCGUCAUUAUAACCACUCAAGCUCUCGCUUGGUAUUGGAGUUCGCAAUCUCGCGGCUCCUAAAAUCAGUGGCGGUGCCUGUCGGCUCUACGCGUAGUAAUACUCCUCGCGAUUGAGUCCGGUAGGUUUACUUGCCAGCAACCCCCAAUUUUUACAGGUUGACCUCGGAUCAGGUAGGGAUACCCGCUGAACUUAAGCAUAUCAAUAAGCGGAGGA